RNAcentral lists this ribosomal RNA (115 nucleotides) under bacterium. The record is from RNAcentral.
UCUGGUGGAUAUAGUUGUAGGGCAACACCCGUUCCCAUUCCGAAUACGGAAGUAAAGUCUACAACGUCGAUGAUACUUGGCUGGAGACGGCCCGGGAAAGCAGAUACUGCCAGGA